Molecule: ribosomal RNA, 789 nt
Filed under: Cyathus olla f. lanatus
Lineage: Eukaryota; Fungi; Basidiomycota; Agaricomycetes; Agaricales; Nidulariaceae
Description: eukaryotic LSU rRNA
Rfam family: Eukaryotic large subunit ribosomal RNA
Source: RNAcentral
CGAGUGAAGCGGGAAAAGCUCAAAUUUAAAAUCUGGUGGUCUUUGGCCAUCCGAGUUGUAAUCUAGAGAAGUGUUACCCGCGUUGGACCGUGUACAAGUCUCCUGGAAUGGAGCGUCAUAGAGGGUGAGAAUCCCGUCUUUGACACGGACUACCAAGGCUUUGUGGUGCGCUCUCAACGAGUCGAGUUGUUUGGGAAUGCAGCUCAAAAUGGGUGGUAAAUUCCAUCUAAAGCUAAAUAUAGGCGAGAGACCGAUAGCGAACAAGUACCGUGAGGGAAAGAUGAAAAGAACUUUGGAAAGAGAGUUAAACAGUACGUGAAAUUGCUGAAAGGGAAACGCUGGAAGUCAGUCGCGUUGGCUAAGAAUCAACCUUACUCUUUUGUGGGGCUUACUUCUUAGUUGACGGGCCAACAUCAGUUUUGAUUGCUGGAAAAGGUCUCAAGGAAUGUGGCACCUUCGGGUGUGUUAUAGCCUUGGGUCAUAUACAGUGGUUGGGAUUGAGGAACGCAGCACGCCGUAAGGUUGGGUUUCGACCACACUCGUGCUUCGGAUGUUGGCAUAAUGGCUUUCAUCGACCCGUCUUGAAACACGGACCAAGGAGUCUAACAUGCCUGCGAGUGUUUGAGUGGAAAACUCGAGCGCACAAUGAAAGUAAAAGUUGAGAUUUCUGUCAUGGAAAGCAUCGACGCCCGGACCUGAUGUUUACUGACGGUUCUGCGGUAGAGCAUGUAUGUUGGGACCCGAAAGAUGGUGAACUAUGCCUGAAUAGGGUGAAGCCAGAGGAAACUC